Long non-coding RNA from Mesocricetus auratus (golden hamster), 2512 nucleotides. RefSeq lists it as uncharacterized. NCBI's taxonomy places the organism in Eukaryota, Metazoa, Chordata, Mammalia, Rodentia, Cricetidae. The transcript is spliced from 5 exons. The record is from RefSeq and is a predicted model, not a curated record.
AGAAAGCAGUAUCUUUAUUAGCAGCAAAACCUAUAACAGCUGCUAUAACUCCCACUGGGAGGAAUUUCCCCUUGCUAGCCAUUCUCAGGGAACCCGAGUCCUGGGACUUCAAAUCCUUUUGGUAAAAGCCAGAGCCUCCCCCAGUCCUCUGCUCAGAAAUCCUAGGUCUCAGAGCUGUCAAUCACUGUUUCCUUAAUCCUUAUACCCCGGGUGGAAUUAGAAGAAUAAUCCCCCAUCCCUCUUGGGUGCAGGUGAUGGAAGCUGGGGCCUUCCACAUGCUAGGAAAGCUACUGUAAGCUACAGCCUCAGGCCUUGUUUUUUGCUUUUAAAUUACAAAAUGCCUGAAUAUCUCCUGGCACUUGCUAACGUGCCCUUGUCUGGGAUUCCUUUCCCUUGCCGCUCGCCCGCCCUUCCUCAUAGAAAUGGGAGGCUGGCUGGUGACCUGGGCUGCCAGUCUCAGGCAUUGAAUUUUUUGCAUGUUGAGAGCAGUGUUGUAUCAUGGCCCUGGCAGCACAAGGAGUGAUCUCUGGGGAAAUGAGUCACCAGCCGCUCCCCUGCUGAUGACUGUCCUCCCACACCCUGGGGACUGGACUCAGAGUGCAGGAGGGAGCCAUGGCAAGGUGCUAACAAUGCGAGGGCCAGCGCUUCAGAGGCAGACCUCCGUAACUAGGCCAGACAGGCCUGUUGUUUUCACACUUGGGGAGAAGAGAGAAAUGCAAAGCAGCCUCUACCUUCCUGGCUCAUCCAAGGCCUCGCUUUGAGGCUCCUCUGAUUUCACCUCCUUGGACACAGGCUGCCCAGUUAGUUGCCCAUAGUCAAAUCCAAACAAAAACUUCUAUUCAUAGCAUCCAGGAGCAUGCAGCUCCAUUAGGACUGGUGUUCUCUGAGGUGUUCAUGGGAGGGUCGUGAGCCCUCUGGUUGCAGGGAUGGGGUGCAGGUCAACCAUACUCCAAAAUAGUGUUGUGAAGUUGAAUUUGAUGUUGUUUCUCCAGUUUUUAAUGGGGCGUCGGGAGAGAGAGAAUGCAUAGCUGUCUCGGGUUUGAGGGUGUUCCGCUUGCUCCAAUGGUCUCUGCUAAGGCUGCAGAAAUGGCAGAGAAUGUGCUCUGUGACUCCCUCUCACUCUGAACUCCUCAGAGCCCCCCCCACAGGACCACACCUCCCUUCACUGAUAUAAAUACUGCCAAGUGCCAACCUCAUACUCCGUGUUUUAGACCUCCUACUGCCCCUAGAGUCAUGUUUACAGACGAAGGUCUGGCCAAAAGAGGCUUUAAUUUGUCACCUCCACACAAGCCAGAGUCAUCUGGGAAGAGGGAAUCUCAAUUGAGAAAUGCCGCCAUCAGAUUGGUCUAUAGGCAAGCCCGUGGGGUCAUUUUCUUGAUUAGUGAUUGAUGUGGGAGGGCGCAGCCCCACUGAGGAUGUUGUCACCCCUGAGCAAGCGGAGGAAGCCAUGGGGAGGGGGGCAAGGCAAUAGGUAGCAUUAUUCCAUGACUUCUGCUUCAAUUCCUGCCUCCGGGAUCUGCCCUGAUUUCCCUUCAUGACAGACUGUGACAGGGACGUGUAAGCCAAAUAAACACUUUGCUCCACAAGUUGGUUUAGGCCAGUGUUUUAUCAUAGCAACAGAGAACCAAACUAAGCCAAAAGCUAACAGACUGGCUCCAAGUCACAGUUUCCUGCUAACUGUGGUGUCAUUCACCUGGGUGUCCUGGAUAUCUGGAACAUCAAACAUGAUGGUGGUGAAGCAUUGCUGUGAGCAUCAUGGUUCUUCCACAGCUGAGCAAAGUCAGGCCUCCCAAGCAUUUUGCCCCAGUCACCCACUGGAUACCAGAUGAUCUUGCAUUUGGAGAAUUGCUCUUAAUAAAACUAUGAAAUGCUUUUCUCUCCAACUAACGAUUGUCCUAUAUUAUACAAGGGAUUGAGGAGAAGAGUUGUGUGGUAGAAUAUUCAGUCCACGUUUGGGAAUCAACUGUCCGGAGAGUAUUCUUAUUUCCAGCUUGUAUUAUGGUGUUUAUUAUACCCGAACAAUGGCAGAGCCAGUGAUGGAUUGGUUCAUGGGUUCUAGAUUUGCAGAUGGUUAUGAGCCAUGCUAUGUAGAAUUCUGGGAAUCAAACUGGAUCCUCCACAAGCCCAGUACCUGCUCUUAACAGCUGAGCCAUCUCUCCAGCCCCCAGGAUCCAGGAGCUUUUAAAGCCACAAAUUCCUGGAGGAGGAGGGCGGAAGUGAUGGCUGAUCCCGAAGGCUGACUUUUACGUCUGGGACCUACUUUCUGGUAACAGCUCCCCUGAGCAGAUGAAAGACACCUUGACUCCACAGCGCUCCAUGCACCCAGGGACUUCACUACUGUUGAUAGAGUUUUGCAAAACAGAUGGAAAGGACCUUAUAAAAGCCGCUUGCGUUUUUUAUCCUUUGGGCUUCUGCUCUGUGACAACCUUGUUUCAUAGCCCAGGCAGAUCUUGAACUUGAGGUUUUCUUACCUCAGUCCCCCAAGACCUGAGAUUACAGAUAUGUGCCACUC